This is a long non-coding RNA of Bombyx mori (domestic silkworm), 5118 nucleotides long. RefSeq lists it as uncharacterized. The transcript is spliced from 2 exons. Lineage: Eukaryota; Metazoa; Arthropoda; Insecta; Lepidoptera; Bombycidae. The record is from RefSeq and is a predicted model, not a curated record.
GUCAACAAUAAUAUUUAAUUUUAAUUCCACAUAAAAAUACAUUUAAAAUUCGGUUAAAAGCGUCUACAAAUAAACAUAGUUCAUAAAAUAAUGUUUUUAAUUCUUAGUUCCGUUAAUGUGACCAAAUCGGUAUUAAAUAUUUAUUUAUUUUUAAAAUGACGUACGCACAAAUCACACUUUCAAAAUUUGUAUUAUCUAAUAUUAUGAUGCUUUGAAAAUUGUCAAAAUUAAAUACAAUUCCAAACAAUAUUUCGUAUUUACCAUUGUUACGUGUUGGCAGAAAUAUCUAGAAACAUAUUAUCAAGUUAUAUGUAUUUUUUUAAUAAAUUAAUUUAAAAUCAAAUUUACCUCUUUGACGUUGCUUGCGAUUACUUAAAAAAACCAGUCCGUUUUUUAAUAUAGUUGAACAAAAACGAAUCUAACACUAUUAAUUCGGCAUUGUAAUUAUGUUACUAGACAUACAUAUUAAGUAGGUGCAAAUAAAACUAAAUUUUAAUAGUUUUAUCCGGAGUUUUUGAAGUGAAACUUCUUUAGGCGCAUGAGGGUAAAUUUUUUACAGAUGUAACGUCACGUAGGUAUGCAACGGAAGUGUCGAAAAAUUUUAAUACAGCGCCAUCUAUGAGAUUUUUUAAUACUAAUGUGUGCAUGAAACCUCUUGUAGUGAAUUUCAAUUUAGGAUUAUACGUGACGAUUAAAAUAUCGAUUCACAGAGGACGCUACCUCAUACUAUAAAAGAUGAUUUACAAUUUUUACUAAUGACAAAAUUUUACAUACACUUAGACAUUUAGGAUAAUUGUAUUUUAAUUUUUGAAGGUUUCACUUCUAACACGUGUGAAUUGCACACAUGUUAUUUUUUUAUUGUUACUGCAUUUUAUUUCAAUGCCCGUGUCCUCGAAUUAAGUAGGCACUUAAAGACACUGGAGUAGCAAAGAAAUAUCUUUGUUUCCGAAAUCGAUUUGAAUACCCAAUACAGAAUUAGUAAAGCCACUGUUAAAAUAGAUAGGUACAUUCUGUCUCACAAAGUUAACCCGUAAUCGACUCAAGUCACAAAAAACGGAAUUAAGAACCAAUAAACGUCUUUUUUUUUUGUUAAAAUAGACACGUGAAUACAAAUAACGCUUCAUGUUUUCAGUUUUUGCCACGUUAUGAUGAGUUCGUUAGGUUGACGCACGCUUCCCUCCAAAAACAAAACACUUUUCAAGCGACAAAAUCCAAAAUGGAUUUUCGAGUUUCGACAACAAUUAAAGCAAGCGCAAAAAUAUUAUAAGGAUCAAUAACGCUGCACUAAUCAAGCACCAUUUUAUAAUUAUUGACUUAUUUAGAAUAUUGAAAUUCAUUAAGACACUUGACUAUAAGCGCACUACCUAUUUUUUGUUCCUCUAAAUGCCAAGCUGGUUGGAUUCCCGCGUACGGAACUAAUACUGAAUCAAUUGACUGUGAUAUAUUCAAACGAUCGACCAAUAAACUAAUUAAUUAUCUAAAACAUUUUUGUGAAAGAGCACUAGAAUAAUAAUUAUAAGUGUCGUUCGUAUAUAUAAUUUUAAGGUCGGGUAUUAUUUUACAUUUGAAUUGAUUAAAAUAGAAUUGAUUGACUGUAUCAACUUCAUUGCACGCACGGUAACGAACUUUUCGAAAAAUUGUUUUGCUACAAUUUAUAUUCAAAGGCAAAGGUGUUCGUGAACAAAGUGCUUAAAAAUAAACAUUGACUUCUUUUUUUUUUCGCUAAAUACAAAAGUUUCUUCAUCAGUGUGGAUUAUUUACACAACGUACACGUGAAUAGUGUGAAUAAUGAAUCAUUAAAAGGUUCGUGUUCGUAGAGAUGGAUAGCCGGAGCAGAUAAAUCGGAGCUAGUCUUCUUCGAAAAGUCCACUAAGACUACUCCUAAAUUCCCGCCAAUUUACUGACGAAUAUCCUUGAAGAUUAUCCGAACUAAGAUAAGCUAGAAUUAUUUAAAACUUUCACGUUUAUCUUAAUUUUAAUCACAACUAUUUCGCGGGUUAAGCUUACCUCUAUUUUUAAUUUUGACGAGCCCCCGAUAUUUCGGCGGUGUUGCAAGCGCAUUAUAAUUACACACCCAAAAACGGACUAGAACCAGUAUAUACAGGUGUGCCUGCAUCUAAAAUCAACUUUCUUCAACCUACCCGUGGUCACGGCAACAGCGUCAAAAUAUCGGACACUCAUUGUAGCUAUCAAUAAUGCUUACAAUCUAAAAUGUCGAGUGACCGACGGCCGUAAUCGUUUCAAAAAUCAAAGCCGAUUGCCAUGAUAAAAAUUACGAAUACCUAUUAAUUAAUCCGCUUAAGCUAGAUCCUCGCGCUUGCAAGAUAACCAACCGAACCGAAUGGUAUCCAUUCUAAGGCCUCAAUUAUCACAUUUCCCAAAGAGACCAAGCAUUAAGUAGUUUUAAAAAAAAAUCUUUUAUUGAAAACAAAUAUUCAAGAACAAAAUAUUUAUUAUUCAAAAUCAUGAAAACAAUAUAAAAUAUUGAAAAACAAAAAAAAAGAGCAUAAUCAUAACCAUUUACCAUACAACGCUGCCAUAUUUUAUAAGCUACAAUAAAAAAAAAUUGAAUGUUCUGUAUAAUGAUUUUAAAAUAUAUAAAUAUACCUACAUCUAGCUUUAUAUUCCUAGUGAGGUGACACAGUUAUGACAGAUGUCACGCACGUCAGAAUAAGACACGAUCAUUUCAGAAUAAGGAUGUUCCUCUCUGUUUUUUUUUGAGUGGCAAAUUUUUAAUUCUAUAAAUUUUGCAAUAACAAAUUUAUUAGAUUGAAUAUCUUUAUUAUUUCUGAUUAUUUGUUUCUUUAAUUUUUUCUGUUGUUAUUUUUUUACAGAAAAAACAUAAUUAUAUGAAUUCUGAAUUAAAUUUAAAUUAAUUAUUCAAUGUAGGACAGAUAAUGUUAGGUAGCGUCACAACACGCAACUGAACAAUAAUGAAGCUGAAUUUUUUUUUUUAUUUAUUGCAUUUAUCUAAGGUAUCAGUAUAGUCACAACGGCUGCCGCGCCCUUCAAACCGAAAUGCAUUACUGCUUCACGGCAGAAAUAGGCGGGGCGGUGGUACCUACCCGUGCGGACUCGCAAGAGGUCCUACCACCAGUGAAAUUGAUUACAAAUUCGUCGAAUAUGAUAAUAAUGUAACAACAAAAAAAAAAAAAAUUAAGACAUGAGUGGAUUGGGUAAAGCACCAUUAUUAAGAUUUUUGAGUUUUUAUAUUGAAUUAAGGUGUUAUGUGCUUACAAACCAUAGUAACCAUAGUAGACCUUAAAACUCAGGGUUUAAAGGCUAUUUUUAGAAAUUGCAUAUGAAGAAGGAGUUAUAUACGAAGAAAAAGUACAAAUAACAAAAGCUUGUUGCCAAUUUUCUCAAAAUUAACAAAUUGUAUCAUACAUAUCCCCUUCAUCCACUCAUGUCUUCAUAUAUGUUUGCAGACAAAACAAUCCGCGUUAUAGGACAUGCCUCAGUUAUAUUGACCUCAAAUGACGUCAUAACAUUGGACGGCACGUUCGGCUGGUUUUGUAUGGAAAAUUCAAAAAUAAUAUUUGCCCAGUUCAUUAGUGUUAAGUUAUAAUUGUCAAGAAACGUUCCCCAGUGGCUUGGGUUCGAAACCGCGGAUGCGAUUUAUCAAAAUUAAAUGCGCUAAAUACUUUGAUCGGUAAAAAAAAAACUCAAAUACAAAUUAAAAAAAUACAAAAUAAUUAUUUUUUAUUUUAACCAUGAUCACCCAAAGGUUUUCAGAAAUAUUAAUUCGUCAACGGUACAAUGAAUUUACAAAUAUAAAUAUGUACACUUUAUAUUUAUAUAUUGAAUUAAUAAACAUUUCUCUAUGCGAGAUCAAAAAAAUUAACUUUUUCAGUUUUGUCAAAAAAAAAAUGUCUAUAUAUUUUUUUAAUUAUUUAGUUACAUACAUAUCUAAGUAAUUAUUACUCCAUUCAUUACUUAUUAAACAAAAAUAAAGGUACACCAAGUUUGCUUUAAGAUGAAAAAAAGCAUUUUGGGCGAAUUCUAUUUGACCACAAAAAAACAGGACAAAAAAGUAUGAAUUAAAAAAAAAAUACAAAACAUGUCGUUUCGUCGGUAUUAAAAACAAAAAUCUCAACGCAAACUAUAAAAUGGCACUAAGAAACUAAUUUAAAACAUAUUUCAUUCAUUUAAAAUCAUAUAACAAAUAAAUGAUCAUACCAUUUUUUUUAUAAAUCUUUUCAUUCACAUUCAUUUUAAUGUUGAUUCGAACAAAAAAAAAUGCAUUGAGAAAAUGUCAAUUAUUGGAAAUCGAUAGAAUUGUAAGAACGUAUGUAUGUAUACUAUGGCACAAUAAAAAAAAAACUUAAAAAAACACCAUAAACUAAACAUUAACCCAUUGUUAUAAAAGACGCUAAAGUAUGGGUUUUCAUAAAAAUCUCAAAGUUCACAUUAAACAGUGUUCUAUGUAAUAGUGAAAAACAACGUUUUCAUUAUUAAAACAUUAUUACAAGCGCACGAGAAUGUUAACGCCGCCAUUUCUAAGCAUUUGAUAACCUAAACACACUGCAGCAUCGGAAGGGAAAAAUAAAUAUUCGUAUAAAAAAAUCGGAGGAUACAUGUGCUAAAAUGUUGGGAUUAUCGGAACAUUUCAAGUUUCAAACAAUUACAUACCUAUAUAUUAUUACGAUUAAAACAGAUUUAUGUAAAUAAAUAAAAGGAACUUUUAUGUGGAUUAUUAUUUAAAAUACACGAGCUGGAGAUGCGAAUGUAUUAUAGCAAGAUUCCUGGACAUAACGUCCGAAAUACUUGAAGAAAUGUUUUUAAAUGAUAAUAUUGAAGACAGCUGGCGAAGGACGCAAAGAUGUUUACAUGUUUGAAAAAAAAUACGGGUGACGCGUAAGUCAGCUAUUUUGAAUUUGCUCCCUAUAAUCCAUUUAAAAUAGUACGAUGAAUUUUUAUAAUUAAGAAACAAUGGUGAUUAAGAAAAAUAAAUGAGUUAAGUAUGUAAUAAAAGUAGAAUUAAGUAAUUAUAGAAACGAUCAAUUAUUGCUAAUUUUUCAUUGUGAUAGUGUAGCUUAGAAUAUAUUACGUAAAAUUAGAUACUCGAUAAAAUAAAUUGCAUAAAUACAAAUAUUAAAAUAUAUAUAAUAUAAGAAA